GCAGUAGACGGACAGAGGAGUCGUAGCGGUCGAGGCUUUUGCGGCUCCGGCGUGCCGGAAACGUACGCGUCCUUUUUCCUAAGAGCGCCCUAAACAAGAAUUGAAAAUGAAGCAAUUCCUGGCUAAAAUAUUCCUUAACAUGAAGAUCGCUGAGGCCCCAAAGACUCAUUAGUUUCCCGAGGUCACAGACUAAUUUUACUAACCACACAACCUUUAGAAUUUCAGUCUCCUCCCACAUGAAGAAACGCCGGCACCUUACACCGACAGGAAAACUACAAUUAAGUGAGGCUGUUCUCCUCAAGCCCGACUGAGUUCUCUGUAAUUGUAGGGCAUACCUACACCCUGUUUUAGCAUUAUGAGACCUGAAAUACUUUUAAAUUACUGGCACCAUUUCUCAUCUCUGAAUUAUAAGUUUAUAAUGCUCUAUCCCUUCCAGUGUUAUUGACUACAUGCAUUAUUCAUAGAUAAGUAGUAGGACUAAGCUAGUCUUUGUGGGUUAAAGUGUUAUUAUCCCUAUUGUAACCUGUAACUAUUAUAG
RNAcentral lists this long non-coding RNA (538 nucleotides) under Homo sapiens (human). Its description in RNAcentral is "non-protein coding lnc-LRMP-6:1". Lineage: Eukaryota; Metazoa; Chordata; Mammalia; Primates; Hominidae. The record is from RNAcentral.